RNAcentral lists this transfer RNA (77 nucleotides) under Sphingomonas aquatilis. RNAcentral describes it as "tRNA-Ala". Lineage: Bacteria; Pseudomonadati; Pseudomonadota; Alphaproteobacteria; Sphingomonadales; Sphingomonadaceae. The record is from RNAcentral.
CCUGCCGCUGGUCGAGGCGGCGGGGCCGUUCGCAUCGGCACUGGAGCGACUACGCGCGUUCGAUCGCGAUGGCGUGC